GGGAAGGUAGCUCAGUGGUAGAGUGCAGUGCUUAGCAUGCACAAAGUCCUAGGUUCAAUCCCUAGUAUCUCCA
This 73-nucleotide transfer RNA is filed under the name Camelus bactrianus (Bactrian camel). It matches the Rfam family "tRNA". Rfam says of the family: Transfer RNA (tRNA) molecules are approximately 80 nucleotides in length. Their secondary structure includes four short double-helical elements and three loops (D, anti-codon, and T loops). RNAcentral also lists the same sequence under 2 other names. The record is from Rfam by way of RNAcentral. Lineage: Eukaryota; Metazoa; Chordata; Mammalia; Artiodactyla; Camelidae.